UUAACUCUCUGUAUAUAACCCUCUCACCUAGAAGUUACCCUCACAAAAGCUCUCUCAAAAUCUCCCAAGGAGUCUCUCUCACAGAUCUGUCAGUACCAGGGUCCUCAACACCCAUAGACACUUCUUGUGGAGCAAACCGUUAUAUCGUGCCUCUCCGUAGCUGCUCUGCUUAAUGCUCUGCUCUACCUCUGAUCCCCUGUCGGUGCUUUGCAGUGUUUACUCUGCCCGC
This 229-nucleotide long non-coding RNA is filed under the name Elaeis guineensis (African oil palm). Its description in RNAcentral is "long non-coding RNA (EGUI_LNC027343)". The record is from RNAcentral. Lineage: Eukaryota; Viridiplantae; Streptophyta; Magnoliopsida; Arecales; Arecaceae.